This 253-nucleotide ribosomal RNA is filed under the name uncultured bacterium. RNAcentral describes it as "partial 16S ribosomal RNA". It matches the Rfam family "Bacterial small subunit ribosomal RNA", at positions 524 to 776 of the family's 1533-position model. The record is from RNAcentral.
UACGUAGGGUGCAAGCGUUAUCCGGAAUUACUGGGUGUAAAGGGAGCGUAGACGGUAAUGUAAGUCUGGAGUGAAAGGCGGGGGCCCAACCCCCGGACUGCUCUGGAAACUAUGUUACUAGAGUGCAGGAGAGGUAAGCGGAAUUCCUAGUGUAGCGGUGAAAUGCGUAGAUAUUAGGAGGAACACCAGUGGCGAAGGCGGCUUACUGGACUGUAACUGACGUUGAGGCUCGAAAGCGUGGGGAGCAAACAGG